This 429-nucleotide ribosomal RNA is filed under the name Chloroflexota bacterium. Its description in RNAcentral is "Chloroflexi bacterium partial 16S ribosomal RNA". It matches the Rfam family "Bacterial small subunit ribosomal RNA", at positions 355 to 776 of the family's 1533-position model. Lineage: Bacteria; Bacillati; Chloroflexota. The record is from RNAcentral.
UAGGGAAUCUUCGGCAAUGGACGAAAGUCUGACCGAGCAACGCCGCGUGAGUGAAGAAGGUUUUCGGAUCGUAAAACUCUGUUGUUAGAGAAGAACAAGGACGUUAGUAACUGAACGUCCCCUGACGGUAUCUAACCAGAAAGCCACGGCUAACUACGUGCCAGCAGCCGCGGUAAUACGUAGGUGGCAAGCGUUGUCCGGAUUUAUUGGGCGUAAAGCGAGCGCAGGCGGUUUCUUAAGUCUGAUGUGAAAGCCCCCGGCUCAACCGGGGAGGGUCAUUGGAAACUGGGAGACUUGAGUGCAGAAGAGGGGAGUGGAAUUCCAUGUGUAGCGGUGAAAUGCGUAGAUAUAUGGAGGAAAACCAGUGGCGAAGGCGGCUCUCUGGUCUGUAACUGACGCUGAGGCUCGAAAGCGUGGGGAGCAAAAAGG